RNAcentral lists this microRNA precursor (76 nucleotides) under Olea europaea subsp. europaea. The record is from RNAcentral. Lineage: Eukaryota; Viridiplantae; Streptophyta; Magnoliopsida; Lamiales; Oleaceae.
UUUUGCAAUAUUGAUUGAACAUUGCAAAAAGUUCAAAAGAUUUUACUUUUUGCAACAUUCAAUCAACGUUGCGAAA